GUUCCAGACUCCUACGGGAGGCAGCAGUGAGGAAUAUUGGUCAAUGGGCGAGAGCCUGAACCAGCCAAGUCGCGUGAGGGAGUACUGCCCUAUGGGUUGUAAACCUCUUUUGUCGGGGAGCAAAAGCCGGACGUGUCCGGCUGUGAGAGUACCCGAAGAAAAAGCAUCGGCUAACUCCGUGCCAGCAGCCGCGGUAAUACGGAGGAUGCGAGCGUUAUCCGGAUUUAUUGGGUUUAAAGGGUGCGCAGGCGGGAGAUCAAGUCAGCGGUAAAAUGUCGGGGCUCAACCCCGGCCGGCCGUUGAAACUGGUUUUCUAGAGUUGGAGAGAAGUAUGCGGAAUUCGUGGUGUAGCGGUGAAAUGCGUAGAUAUCACGAAGAACUCCGAUUGCGAAGGCAGCAUACCGGCUCCAUACUGACGCUGAGGCACGAAAGCGUGGGGAUCGAACAGGAUUAGAUACCCCAGUA
RNAcentral lists this ribosomal RNA (465 nucleotides) under uncultured bacterium. RNAcentral describes it as "bacterial SSU rRNA". It matches the Rfam family "Bacterial small subunit ribosomal RNA", at positions 328 to 792 of the family's 1533-position model. The record is from RNAcentral.